RNAcentral lists this non-coding RNA (775 nucleotides) under Junonia touhilimasa. The record is from RNAcentral. Lineage: Eukaryota; Metazoa; Arthropoda; Insecta; Lepidoptera; Nymphalidae.
AUAAAAUAAUUAUGUUUUUAAUAAUUUAUUAUAAAUUUAUUUUACAUAUAAAUUUUAGUAUAUAAUUUUAAUUAUUUAAAUAAUAAUUAAUUUAAUUUUAGUAGUAAUUAAUAUUAAAAAUUUAAGAAAUUAAGAUUUAGUAAUAUAAAAAUUAAUAACUAAUUUUGUGCCAGCAGUUGCGGUUAGACAAAAGUUAAAUUAAAUUGUUUCAGUAUAUAAUAAAUAAUAAAAUUAUUAAAUUAAAUAUUAAAUUAUUGGGUGAAAUUUUAAUUUAAUUAAAUUUUAUUUUAAAAUUAUGGAUUUAGUAAAUUUUAAUAUAAACUAGGAUUAGAUACCCUAUUAUUAAAAAUUUAAUUUAUAAUACUAAAAUAGUAAAUAAUGAUUUAUUGAAACUUAAAUAAUAUGGCGGUAUUUUAGUUCAUUUAGAGGAAUCUGUCUAAUAAUUGAUAAUCCACGAAUAAAUUUACUUAAUUUAUAAUUUUGUAUAUCAUUGUUAAAAAAAUAUUUUUUAGGAGUAAUAAUAUUUAAAGUUUAAAAUUAAAAGUUAAAUCAGAUCAAGAUGCAGAAUAUAAUUAAGAAUAUGAUGGAUUACAUUAAAUAUAUUUAAAUGAAUAAUUUUAUUGUAAAAAAGUUUGAAGGUGGAUUUAAAUGUAAUUUUAAUUAGUUUAUUAAAAUGAUUAAAAAUUAAAAUAUGUACAUAUUGCCCGUCACUUUCAUUUAAAAAUUGAAAUAAGUCGUAACAAAGUAGAGGUACUGGAAAGUGUUUCUAGAAAGG